UUGAGGUGUAAAAUUUGGUUAGGAGUAGCUUACUUGAGUAUUACGAGUUGUGUUGAGAUAUUCAUCACAAGAAUCUUAAAACUCAAAAGACUUGGCGGUGUCUUAAGUCCUUCUAGGGGAACCUGUCCUGUAAUCGAUAGUCCACGAUUUAUCUUUCCUCCUCUUGAAAUAUUCAGCUUGUAUACCGUCGUCGUCAGAUUACCUUUAAGAGUUAAAUAAGUUAUCGGAAAGAGAUUUACAGAUUAAUAUUUAUUUUGAUUUUAAAAUAGUAAAAUUAAAUUAGAUUUAGGAAAGUAGCUUUCUAGAUGUCAGAUCGAGGUGCAGCUAAUGAGGGGGUAAAGAUGGGUUACAAUAAUUAUUUAUUAUCACGAAGUUCUUAUUGAAAUUUAUAAGAAUUGAGCGCGGACUUAGAAGUAAUUGGUAAAGUAGAGAGUUUCAGUGAAAAUGGCACUAAGAUGUG
RNAcentral lists this ribosomal RNA (460 nucleotides) under Tegula felipensis. RNAcentral's name for it is "partial 12S ribosomal RNA". Lineage: Eukaryota; Metazoa; Mollusca; Gastropoda; Trochida; Tegulidae. The record is from RNAcentral.